CCUGGUUGAUCCUGCCAGUAGUCAUAUGCUUGUCUCAAAUAUUAAGCCAUGCAUGUGUAAGUAUGAACUAAUUCAGACCGUGAAACUGCGAAUGGCUCAUUAAAUCAGUUAUAGUUUAUUUGAUGGUACUUGCUACUCGGAUAACCGUAGUAAUUCUAGAGAUAAUACGUGCAACAAACCCCGACUUCUGGAAUGGAUGCAUUUAUUAGAUAAAAGGUCGACGCGGUCUUUCCCCGUUGCUCAGAUGAUUCAUGAUAACUUGACGGAUCGCACGUCCUUUGUGCUGGCGACGCAUCAUUCAAAUUUCUUCCCUAUCAACUUUCGAUGGUAGGAUAGUGGCCUACUAUGGUGGUGACGGGUGACGGAGAAUUAGGGUUCGAUUCCGGAGAGGGAGCCUGAGAAACUGCUACCACAUCCAAGGAAGGCAGCAAGCGCGCAAAUUACCCAAUCCUAACACGGGGAGGUAGUGACAAUAAAUAACAAUACCGGGCUCUUCGAGUCUGGUAAUUGGAAUGAGUACAAUCUAAAUCCCUUAAUGAGGAUCCAUUGGAGGGAAAGUCUGGUGCCAGCAGCCGCUGUAAUUCCAGCUCCAAUAGAGUAUAUUUAAGUUUUUGCAGUUAAAAAGCUCGUAGUUGGACUUUGGGUUGGGUCGUCCGGUCCGCCCUUUAGGUGUGCAGUGGUCGUCUCGUCCCUUCUACCGGCGAUGCGUUCCUAGCCUUAAUUGGUCGGGUCGUUCCUCCGGUGAUGUUACUUUGAAGAAAUUAGAGUGCUCAAAGCAAGACCAAGCUCUGGAUACAUUAACAUGGGAUAACAUCAUAGGAUUUCGGUCCUACUGUGUUGGCCUUCGGGAUCAGAGUAAUGAUUAACAGGGACAGUCGAGGGCAUUCGUAUUUCAUAGUCAGGGGUGAAAUUCUUGGAUUUAUGAAAGACGAACAACUGCGAAAGAAUUUGCCAAGGAUGUUUUCAUUAAUCAAGAAAGAAAGUUGGGGGUCGAAGACGAUCAGAUACCUUCCUAGUCUCAACCAUAAACGAUGUCGACCAGGGAUCGGCGGAUGUUUCUUUUAGGACUCCGCUGACACCUUAUGAGAAAUCAAAGUUUUUGGGUUCCGGGGGGGAGUAUGGUCGCAUGGCUGAAACUUAAAGGAAUUGACGGAAGGGCACAACCAGGAGUGAAGCCUGCGGCUUAAUUUGACUCAACACGGGGAAACUUACCAGGUCCAGACAUAGUAAGGAUUGACAGACUGAGAGCUCUUUUUUGAUUUUAUGGGUGGUGGUGCAUGGUCGUUCUUAGUUGGUGGAGCGAUUUGUCUGGUUAAUUCCGUUAACGGACGAGACCUCAGCCUGCUAACUAGCUAUGCGGAGGAUUCCAUCCGCGGCCAGCUUCUUAGAGGGACUAUGGUCGUUUAGGCAACGGAAUUUUGAGGCAAUAACAGGUCUGUGAUGCCCUUAGAUGUUCUGGGCCGCACUCGCGCUACACUGAUGCAUUCAACGAGUAUAUAUCCUUGGACGACAGGCCCGAGUAAUCUUUUUAAAGUGCAUCGUGAUGGGGAUAGAACAUUGCAAUUGUUGGUCUUAAACGAGGAAUUCCUAGUAAGCGCGAGUCAUCAGCUCGUAUUGACUACGUCCCUGCCCUUUGUACACACCGCCCGUCGCUCCUACAGAUUAAAUGGUCCGUUGAAGUGUUCGGAUCGCGGCGACGCGGGCGGUUCGCCGUCGGUGAUGUCGCCAGAAGUCCAUUGAACCUCAUCAUUUAGAGGAAGGAGAAGUCGUAACAAGGUUUUCGUAGGUGAACCUGCGGAAC
RNAcentral lists this ribosomal RNA (1801 nucleotides) under Papaver somniferum (opium poppy). RNAcentral describes it as "bacterial SSU rRNA". It matches the Rfam family "Eukaryotic small subunit ribosomal RNA". Lineage: Eukaryota; Viridiplantae; Streptophyta; Magnoliopsida; Ranunculales; Papaveraceae. The record is from RNAcentral.